GCCGUUUCACAGAGGCUCCAACUUUUCAUUUGGAAAUAAAAUAGACGGUAAAAAACUCAGAAAGGGGAUUGGUUUUGUUUUCAAUAUCUUCAACUUUUCUCUCCCUCACUCAUUUCUUCUCUUUUUUAUUCACCGUCUAUAAAACCACCACAACUACUUCAUAAUAAAAAAAAGCUACCACAAACCGAAAUUUUUUCCUCACUGCUCCAACGCCCUUAACAACCUUCCACACCACUGCUCAUCUUCUUCCACCAACCAUGGCAUCCGCACCACCAUAAACAACCGUCUUCCAUCAUUUUCCAUUCAACUUAUAGAUCUUAUAUUCCGUCCAUCACCCUUCACCGUGAUAUAAUAACAAUAAAGUUCCAAGAAUCAAUAACAACACCUGCGAGAAUCACACUCAGAAACGACAUCAGACCUUCGUACCACUACCACCAUGAACUCACGCAAAUCUCGCCGAAGCUUUUAAACUACUCACCUGAAAUCAACAUCACAACAACAAUCGCAUUUGAACCGCAACAAGGAUCAUAGACUCGGUUGGUUUCACUUGUCGUUUCGAAAUCCGUUUGGUUUUCAUUUAUAGUUCGGUUUGGAUUAUGUUAUGUUGUUGUUUCUAUUUCUUCGAUUGCAUGUUAUUUUUAAAAUUUCUUUAAUUUUCUUCUAUUGGUGCUGAAUUGAUCAUGUUGCUUAUUUAGUAGUUACAUUUUGGUUGUCGGUUUGUGUCGAAUCUAGUGUAUAUGUAGUUUAUUCGUGUUGCCUUGUUCGUUUCGACUUCGUUGUUCCUGCUACACUUAUUUUUUUGUUUCAAUUUCAUUGAAUUUUUCUUUUGUUUUCUUCUCUUCUCUAAAAAUGUUAUUUUAAGUUCAUGCAAUGAAUCCCUGGAUGCAAUGAAGCUGGAUUAUCUAAAAGUUUAGCAUAACCCAGGCUACUUAAUUUCCGGUUUGUUUGAUAUUGCAUGUUAUUAUUAUUUCAUGAAUAUUGGGCAUUUUGAAUUUAUGUUGUGGUGAGAUAUUAAGGUUACCGUUUGUUUGUUUUUGUUCUAAUAAUAAUUAUAUGGUUGUUGUGGUUAAGUUAUGCACGGUAUGUUUAGCUCUCAAUAUAAUGAUUUAUAAGCCAUAAUGUUCGAACCAAAUACUUCAUGAAGCAAUUAGUUGCAAAUUAAUUUCAGGAAGAACAAAAAGAAUAGAAUGUGGGGGGAGGUUGUACCACUUUUGUAUCUUAUUUACUUUUGAUUGUUUUGCUUUCCAUUUCUUUAUAAUACAUAAGUUAAAAUCAUGAGUAAAAAAAAUAAAGUGUUCAGUAGGCUAACUCAUGUACAAAGUAUCAUUUUAUUUACUUGUUUUUCUUGUUUAAUUGAUUUUUAAACUAAUUUUGGAUAUUAAGAAUAAGUUUUGUUGUUGUUUCUGUUUGCUUAUUGUCGAGCUGGUGUUGUGUGAAUCGAACUUGUGAUCCGUGGAUACGGCAAUUUCAUGUUGUUAUGCCGCUAAAAUUUUGACAUAUUAAUAUGAUAUUUCGCUGUGUUAUGAUCUUGCAUAUGACAUUACUUGUUGUCAUUAUGCACAAACCGGCUUUGAGCAUAUUUCUCUCCGAUCAUCUUGCACUAAAUAUUUUCGUUUAUAUUUUUUAAUUCAAAUUAAUUAAUUAAUUAAAGUUUUG
This 1656-nucleotide long non-coding RNA is filed under the name Lathyrus oleraceus (garden pea). RNAcentral's name for it is "Pisum sativum (pea) long non-coding RNA (PSAT_LNC024765)". The record is from RNAcentral. Lineage: Eukaryota; Viridiplantae; Streptophyta; Magnoliopsida; Fabales; Fabaceae.